This 468-nucleotide ribosomal RNA is filed under the name uncultured bacterium. RNAcentral describes it as "partial 16S ribosomal RNA". It matches the Rfam family "Bacterial small subunit ribosomal RNA", at positions 28 to 507 of the family's 1533-position model. The record is from RNAcentral.
GACGAACGCUGGCGGCGUGCUUAACACAUGCAAGUCGAACGGAAAGGCCCUGCUUUUGUGGGGUGCUCGAGUGGCGAACGGGUGAGUAACACGUGAGUAACCUGCCCUUGACUUUGGGAUAACUUCAGGAAACUGGGGCUAAUACCGGAUAGGAGCUCCUGCUGCAUGGUGGGGGUUGGAAAGUUUCGGCGGUUGGGGAUGGACUCGCGGCUUAUCAGCUUGUUGGUGGGGUAGUGGCUUACCAAGGCUUUGACGGGUAGCCGGCCUGAGAGGGUGACCGGCCACAUUGGAACUGAGAUACGGCCCAGACUCCUACGGGAGGCACCAGUGGGGAAUAUUGCACAAUGGGCGGAAGCCUGAUGCAGCAACGCCGCGUGCGGGAUGACGGCCUUCGGGUUGUAAACCGCUUUCGCCUGUGACGAAGCGUGAGUGACGGUAAUGGGUAAAGAAGCACCGGCUAACUACGUG